Molecule: RNA transcript, 2059 nt
Organism: Panthera uncia (snow leopard)
Lineage: Eukaryota; Metazoa; Chordata; Mammalia; Carnivora; Felidae
Gene: CDC45
Gene name: cell division cycle 45
Exons: 21
Source: RefSeq, a predicted model, not a curated record
UCGAGGAAGCUGGCGGAAGUAAGCUACACAUUUGCCUUCGAACUAUGCCGAGAGUUUACCGAAAUCGUAAACUGACGACUUCGUUCAAUGUCGCCAGCUCUGGGUGUCCGGCCGCCGUGGCCAUGUUUGUGUCCGAUUUCCGCAAGGAGUUCUACGAGGUGGUUCAAAACCAGAGGGUCCUUCUCUUUGUGGCCUCGGACGUGGACGCUCUGUGCGCUUGCAAGAUUCUUCAGGCUCUGUUCCAGUGUGAUCACGUGCAGUAUACGCUGGUUCCGGUUUCUGGGUGGCAAGAACUUGAAACUGCAUUUCUUGAGCAUAAAGAACAGUUCCAUUAUUUUAUUCUCAUAAACUGUGGAGCUAAUGUAGACCUAUUGGAUAUCCUUCAGCCUGAUGAAGAUGCCAUAUUUUUUGUGUGUGACACCCACAGGCCAGUUAAUGUCGUGAAUGUCUAUAAUGACACCCAGAUCAAACUACUCAUUAAACAAGAUGAUGAUCUUGAAGUUCCUGCCUAUGAUGAUAUCUUCAGGGAUGAAGAAGAAGGUGAAGAGCAUUCAGGAAAUGAAAGUGACAAUGGGUCAGAGCCUUCUGUGAAGCGCACACGGUUAGAAGAGGAGAUAGUGGCACAAACCAUGAAGAGGAGGCAGCGAAGAGAGUGGGAGGCCCGGAGAAGAGACAUCCUCUUUGACUAUGAACAGUAUGAAUAUCACGGGACAUCGUCAGCCAUGGUGAUGUUUGACCUGGCGUGGAUGAUGUCAAAAGACUUGAACGACAUGCUGUGGUGGGCCAUCGUUGGACUAACGGACCAGUGGGUGCAAGACAAGAUCACCCAGAUGAAGUACGUAACGGACGUUGGCAUCCUGCAGCGCCAUGUGUCUCGGCACAACCACCGGAAUGAGGAUGAGGAGAACUCCCUCUCUGUGGACUGUACACGGAUCUCCUUCGAGUAUGACCUCCGCCUGGCACUCUACCAGCACUGGUCCCUCCAUGACAGCCUAUGCAACACAUGCUACACUGCAGCCAGGUUCAAGCUCUGGUCUGUGCAUGGGCAGAAGCGUCUCCAGGAGUUCCUUGCAGACGUGGGCCUCCCCUUGAAACAGGUGAAGCAGAAGUUCCAGUCCAUGGAUGUCUCCUUGAAGGAGAAUUUGCGGGAGAUGAUCGAAGAGUCUGCAAAUAAAUUUGGGAUGAAGGACAUGCGCGUGCAGACUUUCAGCAUUCACUUCGGGUUCAAGCAUAAGUUCCUGGCCAGUGACGUGGUCUUUGCCACCAUGUCACUGAUGGAGAGUCCCGAGAAGGACGGCUCAGGGACAGAUAACUUCAUCCAGGCUUUGGACAGUCUCUCCAGGAGUAACCUGGACAAACUCUACCAUGGCCUGGAACUCGCCAAGAAGCAGCUGCGAGCCACGCAGCAGACCAUCGCCAGCUGCCUCUGCACCAACCUUGUCAUCUCCCAGGGGCCCUUCCUCUACUGCUCCCUCAUGGAGGGCACUCCGGACAUUGUGCUAUUUUCCAAGCCAGCAUCCCUGAGCCUGCUCAGCAGACACCUGCUGAAGUCCUUUGUGUGUUCGACAAAGAACCGGCGCUGCAAGCUGCUGCCUUUGGUGAUGGCCGCACCCCUGAGUGUGGAGCAGGGCACUGUGACUGUGGUGGGCAUCCCCCCAGAGACCGACAGCUCAGACAGGAAGAACUUUUUUGGGCGGGCGUUUGAGAAGGCAGCAGAGGGCACCAAUUCUCGGACGCUGCACAACCAUUUUGACCUCUCAGUAAUUGAACUGAAAGCAGAGGAUCGGAGCAAGUUUCUGGAUGCACUUGUUUCUCUCCUGUCCUGAUGGGCCCCCCCGCACAGUGGAUGCUCAUACUCAGCCCUGCAUCUCCUUGAGCCCUGGGCUGGAGCCACUGCUGUGGUAGACAGGCCUUGUCAAGACUCUGAGAGUUUGAUUUCUUCUGAUGCGUCCUCCUUCUCCUAAUUUAUAUUAACUGGGUUUUAUUUAGACUAUAAGUUAUGGACAUGGUUUUAGACACCCACAGUGGGUUUUUAAUGGAAUAAAAUGUUUGUUUUAGC